RNAcentral lists this ribosomal RNA (447 nucleotides) under uncultured bacterium. RNAcentral's name for it is "bacterial SSU rRNA". It matches the Rfam family "Bacterial small subunit ribosomal RNA", at positions 355 to 825 of the family's 1533-position model. The record is from RNAcentral.
UGGGGAAUCUUGGACAAUGGGCGCAAGCCUGAUCCAGCCAUGCCGCGUGGAUGAUGAAGGCCUUAGGGUUGUAAAAUCCUUUCGUUGGGGACGAUAAUGACGGUACCCAAAGAAGAAGCUCCGGCUAACUUCGUGCCAGCAGCCGCGGUAAUACGAAGGGGGCUAGCGUUGUUCGGAUUUACUGGGCGUAAAGCGCGUGUAGGCGGAUUUGUAAGUUGGGGGUGAAAUCCCGAGGCUCAACCUCGGAACUGCCUCCAAAACUACAAGUCUGGACCUAAGUAGAGGCAAGUGGAAUUGCGAGUGUAGAGGUGAAAUUCGUAGAUAUUCGCAGGAACACCAGUGGCGAAGGCGACUUGCUGGACUUAUGGUGACGCUGAGACGCGAAAGCGUGGGGAGCAAACAGGAUUAGAUACCCCUGUAGUCCCUGAGCGGGCUGGCAAGGCGCAU